GACGUGUUCCAGCCCUUUGUCUCUCAUCGCUGGUUGGAGCCCUCAUCAGACAUCAAGCUCCAUGCGCAAGCCAACUAAGAUUUCCAACUGCCGGCUCCGUGCAUUCCUACAUCCUUGCUAAGCGCCCCAUGACCGUGGAAGAUAUCAUCAAACUUUCGGAAACCAGCCCCAUCGAGUGUGAAUUCGGCCAGUCUCUCAUGUUACUGUAAAUAAUGGAAUAAUUGAACACAGUACUCUGUGCCCUAUCCACGUGGCCUACCUGCCAUUCCGUUGUCUCAGGAUAUUCAAUUUUGUGUAAAUAAACUAAUAAAGAUUUC
Macrobrachium nipponense is the source of this 317-nucleotide long non-coding RNA. RefSeq lists it as uncharacterized. The record is from RefSeq and is a predicted model, not a curated record. The transcript has 2 exons. Lineage: Eukaryota; Metazoa; Arthropoda; Malacostraca; Decapoda; Palaemonidae.